GCCCACGGCGCCGGCGCAGGCCCAGGCUCCACUCCCCAGCUGUGAAAGGAGUAGCUCUAUGGUGACUUUGAAGACUUGGAAACAGGGGACGUGCACAAGGGAAAAUCGGGCCCCGAUACUCAGAAUGAAGAUAUAGAGAAACAAGGAAGAAAUUAACCCCGACAAAGAAAAAAGUGCCAAGAAAAAGCAUUUGGAUAAGAAGAGAAAAUUGAAGGAGAUGUUUGAUGUGGAAUAUGAUGAAGGAGAAAGCACAUAUUUUGAUGAUCUUAAAGGAGAAAUGCAGAAACAAGCACAGGUGAUCAGUGGCCUGUGUGGCUUAUGGACACACCAGAGUUCCCAGGGGAAGUGAUCUGAAAACUCAUCCUGGUCAGAGUUCAGAAGGACAUGUGGAGUAUAAGGUCAGAUGCGG
Molecule: long non-coding RNA, 409 nt
Organism: Pan troglodytes (chimpanzee)
Lineage: Eukaryota; Metazoa; Chordata; Mammalia; Primates; Hominidae
Source: Ensembl